AUUGAACGCUGGCGGCAUGCCUUACACAUGCAAGUCGAACGGCAGCGCGGGGCAACCUGGCGGCGAGUGGCGAACGGGUGAGUAAUAUAUCGGAACAUACCCUAGAGUGGGGGAUAACGUAGCGAAAGUUACGCUAAUACCGCAUACGCACUAAGGUGGAAAGUGGGGGGAUCUUCGGACCUCAUGCUCAUGGAGUGGCCGAUAUCUGAUUAGCUAGUUGGUGAGGUAAAGGCUCACCAAGGCGACGAUCAGUAGCUGGUUUGAGAGAACGACCAGCCACACUGGAACUGAGACACGGUCCAGACUCCUACGGGAGGCAGCAGUGGGGAAUUUUGGGACAAUGGGGGGCAACCCUGAUCCAGCAAUGCCGCGUGAGUGAAGAAGGCC
Molecule: ribosomal RNA, 387 nt
Filed under: uncultured bacterium
Lineage: Bacteria
Description: bacterial SSU rRNA
Rfam family: Bacterial small subunit ribosomal RNA
Source: RNAcentral